UACGGAGAGUGCGAACGUUGUUCGGAUUUACUGGGCGUAAAGGGCACGUAGGCGGCUCGGCAAAUCAGUCGUGGAAUCCCGACGCUUACCGUCGGAACGGCGGCUGAAAAUACCGGGCUUGAGGGCGUGAGGGGUCGCUGGAACUCCUGGUGAAGCGGUGAAAUGCGUAGAUAUCAGGAGGAACGCCGGAGGCGAAAGCGAGCGACUGGCGCGUUCCUGACGCUGAGGUGCGAAAGCUGGGGGAGCAAACAGG
This 253-nucleotide ribosomal RNA is filed under the name uncultured bacterium. RNAcentral describes it as "partial 16S ribosomal RNA". It matches the Rfam family "Bacterial small subunit ribosomal RNA", at positions 524 to 776 of the family's 1533-position model. The record is from RNAcentral.